RNAcentral lists this ribosomal RNA (301 nucleotides) under uncultured bacterium. RNAcentral describes it as "partial 16S ribosomal RNA". It matches the Rfam family "Bacterial small subunit ribosomal RNA", at positions 509 to 807 of the family's 1533-position model. The record is from RNAcentral.
CAGCAGCCACGGGAAUACAGAGGGUGCGAGCGUUAAUCGGAAUUACUGGGCGUAAAGCGUGCGUAGGUGGUGGUUUAAGUCCGUUGUGAAAGCCCUGGGCUCAACCUGGGAAUUGCAGUGGAUACUGGGUCACUAGAGUGUGGUAGAGGAUAGUGGAAUUUCCGGUGUAGCAGUGAAAUGCGUAGAGAUCGGAAGGAACAUCUGUGGCGAAGGCGACUAUCUGGGCCAACACUGACACUGAGGCACGAAAGCGUGGGGAGCAAACAGGAUUAGAGACCCCUGUAGUCCCUGUCUCUUAUAC